UACGUAGGGUGCAAGCGUUGUCCGGAAUUAUUGGGCGUAAAGAGCUCGUAGGCGGUCCAUUAAGUCGGAAGUGAAAUCUCAGGGCUCAACCCUGAAAUUGCUUUCGAUACUGGUGGACUUGAGGCAGGUAGGGGAAGGUGGAAUUCCUGGUGUAGCGGUGAAAUGCGCAGAUAUCAGGAGGAACACCAGUGGCGAAGGCGGCCUUCUGGGCCUGUUCUGACGCUGAGGAGCGAAAGCGUGGGGAGCAAACAGG
This 253-nucleotide ribosomal RNA is filed under the name uncultured bacterium. RNAcentral's name for it is "partial 16S ribosomal RNA". It matches the Rfam family "Bacterial small subunit ribosomal RNA", at positions 524 to 776 of the family's 1533-position model. The record is from RNAcentral.